UGCAUUUUCUACUAAACAGAGAAAACGAUACAGACUCACGGAAAGUGUUCUCCCUCAAAAUUCUAAACAAAUACUUAAAUGCACAAGGGAAAAGAGGUGGACUCGCUGAAACGAUGCAGAUGGGAGUAAACAACAUAGUGGCUGAGUUUCCUAAACAACUCGGAGCGUUGAAGGGGGUCGACUUCUCCAUUGGACAUAGGCUGGACCUGCCACGGACCACUCCAAACUGCUGAGCAUCGCCUGAAGAAGCGGGCAUCUGCUCCGGACGCAUGGGCACCGCUGCACCACCACUGGCAGACACGCACACACACUUGCACGAUGGGAAAAGUAUUCCAAAGUCACAGCAAUGACCGUAGUACUGUAAAAUGAUAAACUGAUAAAAUGAUACUGUACAGCACUAAGCUCAGCUCUUCCUCCAGAUCUGU
Long non-coding RNA from Esox lucius (northern pike), 425 nucleotides. RefSeq lists it as uncharacterized. The transcript is spliced from 3 exons. NCBI's taxonomy places the organism in Eukaryota, Metazoa, Chordata, Actinopteri, Esociformes, Esocidae. The record is from RefSeq and is a predicted model, not a curated record.